UCCCUAGUGGUCCAGUGGCUAGGAUUCUGCACUCCCAAUGCAGGGGGCCCAGGGUUCAAUCCCUGGUCAGGGAA
Non-coding RNA from Bubalus bubalis (water buffalo), 74 nucleotides. The record is from the annotation of a RefSeq genome assembly. Lineage: Eukaryota; Metazoa; Chordata; Mammalia; Artiodactyla; Bovidae.